UGUGAGGUAGCUUAAUGGUAAAGCGCUGAUCUGAUACAUCAGCAGAUAAAGGUUCGAAUCCUUUCUUCACAA
Molecule: transfer RNA, 72 nt
Filed under: Flavobacteriaceae bacterium
Lineage: Bacteria; Pseudomonadati; Bacteroidota; Flavobacteriia; Flavobacteriales; Flavobacteriaceae
Description: tRNA-Ile
Rfam family: tRNA
About the family: Transfer RNA (tRNA) molecules are approximately 80 nucleotides in length. Their secondary structure includes four short double-helical elements and three loops (D, anti-codon, and T loops).
Source: RNAcentral